AUUCCAUGAUGGGGACAUUCUAGGAUGUAGUCUUGGAAGCGUUCCCAUGCUUCUGGAACGGAUUCAUCAUGUUGUUGCUGAAAACUUGUAAUCUUCCCACGGAGGGC
This 107-nucleotide small nucleolar RNA is filed under the name Sorghum bicolor (sorghum). Its description in RNAcentral is "Plant small nucleolar RNA R71". It matches the Rfam family "Plant small nucleolar RNA R71". From Rfam's summary of the family: R71 is a member of the C/D box family of snoRNAs containing the C (UGAUGA) and D (CUGA) box motifs. Multiple nearly identical copies of this snoRNA have been identified in Arabidopsis, and it is thought to function as a 2'-O-ribose methylation guide for 18S ribosomal RNA. The record is from Rfam by way of RNAcentral. Lineage: Eukaryota; Viridiplantae; Streptophyta; Magnoliopsida; Poales; Poaceae.